This 253-nucleotide ribosomal RNA is filed under the name uncultured bacterium. RNAcentral's name for it is "partial 16S ribosomal RNA". It matches the Rfam family "Bacterial small subunit ribosomal RNA", at positions 524 to 776 of the family's 1533-position model. The record is from RNAcentral.
UACGGGGGGGGCAAGCGUUGUUCGGAAUUACUGGGCGUAAAGGGCUCGUAGGCGGCCAACUAAGUCAGACGUGAAAUCCCUCAGCUUAACUGGGGAACUGCGUCUGAUACUGGAUGGCUUGGAUUCGGGAGAGGAAUGCGGAAUUCCAGGUGUAGCGGUGAAAUGCGUAGAUAUCUGGAGGAAUACCGAUGGCGAAGGCGGCAUCCUGGACCGACAUUGACGCUGAUGAGCGAAAGCUAGGGGAGCAAACGGG